Molecule: ribosomal RNA, 116 nt
Filed under: Pseudomonadota bacterium
Lineage: Bacteria; Pseudomonadati; Pseudomonadota
Also listed under: 1 other name
Source: RNAcentral
CCUGGCGGCCAUAGCGAGCGGGAACCACCCGAUCCCUUUCCGAACUCGGAAGUGAAAACGCUCUGCGCCAAUGGUAGUUUGGUCUUCGACCAUGCAAGAGUAGGUCACUGCCAGGC